RNAcentral lists this ribosomal RNA (881 nucleotides) under Chryseobacterium sp. AKB-2008-JO2. RNAcentral's name for it is "bacterial SSU rRNA". It matches the Rfam family "Bacterial small subunit ribosomal RNA", at positions 8 to 892 of the family's 1533-position model. Lineage: Bacteria; Pseudomonadati; Bacteroidota; Flavobacteriia; Flavobacteriales; Weeksellaceae. The record is from RNAcentral.
AGAGUUUGAUCCUGGCUCAGGAUGAACGCUAGCGGGAGGCCUAACACAUGCAAGCCGAGCGGUAGAGAUUCUUCGGAAUCUUGAGAGCGGCGCACGGGUGCGGAACACGUGUGCAACCUGCCUUUAUCUGGGGGAUAGCCUUUCGAAAGGGAGAUUAAUACCCCAUAAUAUACUGAGUGGCAUCACUUAUUAUUGAAAACUCCGGUGGAUAGAGAUGGGCACGCGCAAGAUUAGAUAGUUGGUGAGGUAACGGCUCACCAAGUCAAUGAUCUUUAGGGGGCCUGAGAGGGUGAUCCCCCACACUGGUACUGAGACACGGACCAGACUCCUACGGGAGGCAGCAGUGAGGAAUAUUGGACAAUGGGUGAGAGCCUGAUCCAGCCAUCCCGCGUGAAGGACGACGGCCCUAUGGGUUGUAAACUUCUUUUGUACAGGGAUAAACCUAUUUACGUGUAAAUAGCUGAAGGUACUGUACGAAUAAGCACCGGCUAACUCCGUGCCAGCAGCCGCGGUAAUACGGAGGGUGCAAGCGUUAUCCGGAUUUAUUGGGUUUAAAGGGUCCGUAGGCGGAUCCGUAAGUCAGUGGUGAAAUCUCAUAGCUUAACUAUGAAACUGCCAUUGAUACUGCGGGUCUUGAGUAAGGUAGAAGUAGCUGGAAUAAGUAGUGUAGCGGUGAAAUGCAUAGAUAUUACUUAGAACACCAAUUGCGAAGGCAGGUUACUAUGUCUUAACUGACGCUGAUGGACGAAAGCGUGGGGAGCGAACAGGAUUAGAUACCCUGGUAGUCCACGCCGUAAACGAUGCUAACUCGUUUUUGGUUUUUCGGAAUCAGAGACUAAGCGAAAGUGAUAAGUUAGCCACCUGGGGAGUACGAACGCAAG